AUUUUCUUAUCAGAGUGAAAGUGUUCAGAGAAGAUUUCUUCUGAGUCUCUUCAUUAAAGCAGCAGAGACUGAGACACAGACAGGAGAGCAGAUGCUGAAACUGUUAUCAUCAGUCUGUAACUACAGAUCUUUUCCUUAUGAAUGGACUGACAGCGUUAAUCAGAGUGAUUUACUGCUGGAUCUUUACUCACAUGUGAAGAACUAUGAGACUCAAACAGGCAGGAGUUUUCUUCCAGCAUUACAGUCAGUUUUUCAGUCACCUGAUGUCUGGAUCAUAGAUCUCUCACAGAGAAAGAGCUCUGUCCUCCUGGAAGUGCUCAAACUCCAAACAGAGAAGAAACCAGUAGAGCUGAGAGGAUGUUCAGAGCAAGAGAGUGAAAUGAUGAGUUUCCUGCAGUGUCUGCAACACAUCUCACAGCUGAGGUAAGAGAAUCUUUCUCCAGUUGGUAUUUGUUUUGUCAUUUACCUCACCUGUCCUCUCUCAUUAUCCUUCUCAUUCGUGUCCUUUUGUUUUCUGUUCUGUGCCUGAUUGUCAUCUAAUGUGUUCUCCCUGCAUGUUUUGAUGUUCCCCACUGUAUCCAGCUCAUCUCUGCCCUGUCUUGCCUUGUUGUGUAUUAUAAUACAGGUCAUUGAACUUCAGUCAGUGCUUCAGUCCCCACAAUCCAUUUAACCAAAACUUUACAUAAAGUUGUUGUUAUAACUUUGAACAUGUUUUAAGUAUUUAAUUAGUCUUUUAGAUUUUCCACACUAAAUACAAUGCUAUUUCAAUUGUAAUGGGCCAUGUUAAUUUAUCUAGUGAUUUUAAUCAAGUAUUUAUUGCCUUUUUCAGUUGUUCUGAGCAGUAUUUGUUAACUCUAGUUAAACUGGUCCAGUUCAGAGAGAAUCUACAGCUGGUGCCUUCACUGCUUGAGGUUCUUGGCUUCUCUGUAAGUCUGGAAGGACAAUUACCCAGCAAAACCUGCAGGUCUGUGGGGGGAGUCUUGUGUUUCUCUUCUGACAGACUCAACCUCAGUCUAAAACCUAAAGCCAUCUCUGUCAGAGGAACAAGGCUUCUCUUCAGACACAUCACAAACAUGCACACACUCAGACUGAGUGGUUAUAUGGUGGUGAGAAUAGCGCAGGCAUUGCAGUCUAUGAGGGUUCGAGCUCCCAUCGCUGUUAAUGAACUCACACUUGAUCCAAAUGAUAAACAGCUGUCAGAGAGGAAUCUGUCCAGGAUCGUGAGCAGUUUGGCCAUCCUUCUGAGACUCUGGACUGUCCAGUGUUUGAACUUGACUGAAUACAAGAUUCAGUCUGUUUCUGUGUCUGUCCUACUGUGUCAUCAGGGACCUGUGAUUCUCAGGUCUGACUAUAAGACAAAUUUUAAUAGUGUUUGACUUUGUAUUUAUCAUGGCAUAGAAAUAAAACAAUGAAUUCUGUAUGUUUAGACCA
Cyprinus carpio (common carp) is the source of this 1431-nucleotide long non-coding RNA. NCBI's taxonomy places the organism in Eukaryota, Metazoa, Chordata, Actinopteri, Cypriniformes, Cyprinidae. The record is from Ensembl.